Molecule: ribosomal RNA, 497 nt
Filed under: uncultured bacterium
Lineage: Bacteria
Description: partial 16S ribosomal RNA
Rfam family: Bacterial small subunit ribosomal RNA
Source: RNAcentral
GAUGAACGCUGGCGGCGUGCCUAAUACAUGCCAGUCGAGCGAACGGACGAGAAGCUUGCUUCUCUGAUGUUAGCGGCGGACGGGUGAGUAACACGUGGAUAACCUACCUAUAAGACCGGGAUAACUUCGGGAAACCGUAGCUAAUACCGGAUAAUAUUUUGAACCGCAUGGUUCAAAAGUGAAAGACGGUCUUGCUGUCACUUAUAGAUGGAUCCGCGCUGCAUUAGCUAGUUGGUAAGGUAACGGCUUACCAAGGCAACGAUGCAUAGCCGACCUGAGAGGGUGAUCGGCCACACUGGAACUGAGACACGGUCCAGACUCCUACGGGAGGCAGCAGUAGGGAAUCUUCCGCAAUGGGCGAAAGCCUGACGGAGCAACGCCGCGUGAGUGAUGAAGGUCUUCGGAUCGUAAAACUCUGUUAUUAGGGAAGAACAUAUGUGUAAGUAACUGUGCACAUCUUGACGGUACCUAAUCAGAAAGCCACGGCUAACUACGUG